This 1097-nucleotide long non-coding RNA is filed under the name Trifolium pratense (red clover). RNAcentral's name for it is "long non-coding RNA (TPRA_LNC007201)". The record is from RNAcentral. Lineage: Eukaryota; Viridiplantae; Streptophyta; Magnoliopsida; Fabales; Fabaceae.
CAUAUGAUUAAUAGCAUUUUUAUGGGUCUUGCAACCUCAUAUGUAUAUGGUCUAAGUGACAAAAGGUGAGUAGGAUUGUCAAUGAAUCAAGCCAAUUCAAACAAAGUUCGAGACUGAUUCGAUAAUUGAUACCUUGAGCUUAAUUCAUGACCAAGUGAGUCAAACUUGAGCUGAAAAUUAAAUUCAUUAAUUGAAUUAGCUAAACUUGAACUAUAUAUAGUUCGACUUGUUUGUUAAUCCUUAACACUUCAAAAAUAUUUUUAAAUUUAUAUAUUUGAUUUUUUACGUUUAGAAAUUUAUCACAUAUAAUACUUUAAAAAAACUAAGAAGACAUUUAUUCAUCUCAGCAUUUGCAACGAUGUUAUAUAUUUUCAAGAACUAAAUCAUAGUCGAAACCAUUUUUCUAUAUCGUUCAAAAUUUUAGAAUCUGAAACGUAGACCAAUAAUUAUAAGGGAGAAGACAAUUGUUCUUACUUGUUAUAUAAGUUUACACUGGUAUUUUCUUGCAUCACUUCACAUUUGAUUAUAGAAAUGACCAAGAAUCCAAAGAAUAUAUAAGUUGAAGUGAAGAACGACUUUAUAGUUAUUACAUGAAGAAUUUCAUGUUCCUGUGAAAAGAUACUCACUAUUUUAUAGUGGGAAUCCAGAUAAUUCAACGACAGUGUUGGAAUAAGUGUCAAGAGCCAUAGAGAAACCAAACACGAAAUUCGCCUGUUAUCACACGCCACACCACCACAAUAUGCCUUGGUCACAAAAUCAACCAGUGAACCAUCACAAUUGAGUUUAACUUAACCUUCCAUAGGGUCAAUCCAGGCAUACAAUCUUUCAAACAAAUGAACAGCCCUGCUCGAUUUUAAAAUCUGAACAGAAGUAUUAGCAUGGCCAAUACUCACCACCUGCAAGUUCAUCAAACACAGCAACUCCCUCUGCUAAAGCGUUCAGUUUAGCUUCAAAUAAAAUUUAGAAAUUAUAUGCAAUUGUAAUCUUUCGUCAUUUAUACGCAAGGAAAAGUGGCACGUUGCGUUUGCGAUAUUUGGAUUGCCUGCAGUAUCACGGAUUCACACAGAAAGUGAUUCUGGACCCUUGAUUCAUCCACU